GAUGAACGCUGACAGAAUGCUUAACACGUGCAAGUCAACUUGAAUUUGGGUUUUUAACUUAGGUUUGGGUGGCGGACGGGUGAGUAACGCGUAAAGAACUUGCCUCACAGCUAGGGACAACAUUUGGAAACGAAUGCUAAUACCUAAUAUUAUGAUAAUAGGGCAUCCUAUAAUUAUGAAAGCUAUAAGCGCUGUGAGAGAGCUUUGCGUCCCAUUAGCUAGUUGGAGAGGUAACGGCUCACCAAGGCGAUGAUGGGUAGCCGGCCUGAGAGGGUGAUCGGCCACAAGGGGACUGAGACACGGCCCUUACUCCUACGGGAGGCAGCAGUGGGGAAUAUUGGACAAUGGACCGAGAGUCUGAUCCAGCAAUUCUGUGUGCACGAUGAAGUUUUUCGGAAUGUAAAGUGCUUUCAGUUGGGAAGAAACAAAUGACGGUACCAACAGAAGAAGUGACGGCUAAAUACGUG
This 467-nucleotide ribosomal RNA is filed under the name uncultured bacterium. RNAcentral's name for it is "partial 16S ribosomal RNA". It matches the Rfam family "Bacterial small subunit ribosomal RNA", at positions 28 to 507 of the family's 1533-position model. The record is from RNAcentral.